This is a long non-coding RNA of Poecilia latipinna (sailfin molly), 1489 nucleotides long. RefSeq lists it as uncharacterized. The transcript is spliced from 3 exons. NCBI's taxonomy places the organism in Eukaryota, Metazoa, Chordata, Actinopteri, Cyprinodontiformes, Poeciliidae. The record is from RefSeq and is a predicted model, not a curated record.
GAGCUGACCGGGUCACAGGGGGCGGAGUCAGAGCUGACCUGGGCGGAGGGGGCGGAGUCAGAGCUGACCUGGGCGGAGGGGGCGGAGUCAGAGCUGACCGGGGCGGAGUCAGAGCUGACCGGGGCGUAGGGGGCGGAGUCAGAGCCGGUUCUGACCCGAAACACGUCCGAUCACAGGUUACAUCAGCUAAAAGCUUUGAGUUUAAAGUGGAAGUCAAGGAACAGGAAGUGAUGUAGAAAACCAAACAGAGAUAAAAAGAAAAUGUCUGAUUCAUUCAUAAUUCUGACAUGGAGCUGAUGAAGCAUCAACCCUGCGGCUGGAGGGUGGUUACCUAGCAACCAGCAGCUGCUGGAAACCGGGCCACUGGGUCAAUAACAGACACCAGGAAGCAAACUGGAAACUGGCUGGACUGGAGUUUAUUUAGUGGAAUCAGAGUAAAAGGGGCUGAAGACAAUGCAAAGCAGGAUUUUACUUAAAAUAAAUUUUUAACAUGAAUUAUUAACAAAAAGGUAUUUUUAUGAUCGACAUCAUUAAAGUCUGAGACUCUAAUCCAGGUUUCUGAUCCUGCAGCUCCAGAAGUGAUAAACCAGAUAUUAGUUUUAAUUAUACGUUUGUAAUAAAUGCAGGUUUUAGUAGUUUAAUAAUUACACUGAAAGUACCAGCAACAGGUUUCUAGAUCUAUUUUCUCAUUCAUAUUUCCAAUAAAAAUCAACAUCUUACAAAACGCUUUAUUCACUUUUCACAAAAGUCUUAUGGUUUUAUUAAUUUUAAAACCAAAAUCUAAAUAAAAUUGUGUUUUUUUAGUGUAACAACAUUUCCUCCAGUGUGCGUCAUUUGCAGCUCUAAAUAUGUUUUCUGAAGCUGAACUGGCUGCAAAGAUCUGAUCUAAAGUUUCUGAUUUUAUAAUAAUUAUCCUCCAGAGGGAGUUGCAUUAUUUCGGUGUGUGUGUGUGUGUGUGUGUGUGUGUGUAUUGAUCCCAGCUGGUGCCAUGUUUGUUGUCGUUGUGUGUUACUGAUCUCUGUUGCUGUCAUAGCUUCCCUGACCCAAAUCGCUGCCGUCUGAUUGGCUGUGUAAUCCACCAAUAGAUCAAUGGUUCUGAUUGGCUAACAUGGCAACCUGCGGUAUUGACCAAUGACCUUCCUGCUUUCCAGUAGUCAAUACCCAGACUCUGACAGGAGCGACUGCAGAACCAGCAGACCGUUUCCUGAUUAGCAACUCAUUACAGGGAAAACGGCUUUAAUUCCAGGUUCGGCCACUUGGGGGCAGCAGAAAGGCUAUGAUGUGAGCAAACAGCAGAUUGUAGGUCAGUCAUGAGGACAAAGUUCAGGUGUUGAGAAAAGCUCCAGUUACCAUGGUAACAGAUCCAGGUAAGAUGUAAAACUCUCAAACUGAACCAAAAGUUACCUCAAUAAAGGACCGGUCCGGUUCUGGAGCCAGCUGUUGCUCCUGAUGCUCCUCGUUUAGCUCGACGACACACACCCCACACACA